GCCAGACUCCUACGGGAGGCAGCAGUGGGGAAUAUUGCACAAUGGGGGAAACCCUGAUGCAGCAACGCCGCGUGAGUGAAGAAGUAUUUCGGUAUGUAAAGCUCUAUCAGCAGGGAAGAGGAUGACGGUACCUGAGUAAGAAGCCCCGGCUAACUACGUGCCAGCAGCCGCGGUAAUACGUAGGGGGCAAGCGUUAUCCGGAUUUACUGGGUGUAAAGGGAGCGUAGACGGCGACGCAAGUCUGGAGUGAAAGCCCGGGGCCCAACCCCGGGACUGCUCUGGAAACUGCGUCGCUGGAGUACGGGAGGGGCAGGCGGAAUUCCUGGUGUAGCGGUGAAAUGCGUAGAUAUUAGGAGGAACACCAGUGGCGAAGGCGGCUUACUGGACUGUAACUGACGUUGAGGCUCGAAAGCGUGGGGAGCAAACAGGAUUAGAUACCCGUGUA
RNAcentral lists this ribosomal RNA (445 nucleotides) under uncultured bacterium. RNAcentral's name for it is "bacterial SSU rRNA". It matches the Rfam family "Bacterial small subunit ribosomal RNA", at positions 330 to 792 of the family's 1533-position model. The record is from RNAcentral.